GACCAAAAAAAACCCUCAUUUGGUCCUUUUUCAGAAACCACACCCUCACAAAAAUGUGAACUUCAUCUCACUUGCCAUUCACCCAAGCCGUCGAGCCUCAACUCCGACAAGCUUCAGUCCGCCGAGCCUCACCGCCAUCAAGCUUCACUCCGCCGAUCCUCACCUCCAUUGAGCCUCACUCCACCGUUCCUCACCUUUGCCAAUCCUCACACCAAGUCACACCUCUCCACCGUUCCCUUGCAUGUCCGCCGAUCCACACCGCUGCCGAGCUAGACCACCAUCUCACCGCUCAAGAGCCUCCACCCGUUCCAAUCGCCGAUCGACAAGUCCUCUGACACUCUUGCCGUCUUUGAUGCUAACGGUUAAAUACUCAUUAUUUGUGAAACUUUGGAUUUUUUCUUAAAGGUGUACGCUUAGCUUGAGCAUAGUAAGUAAAAUUUGUUUAAAUACUUAAAAAACUCUAUAUUUGUAAUGUUGAUAAUUGGCUUUGUGGUGGGUUGUUGUAUUGAAGUAAGCGGGUGACUUGCAUGGAGUUAUAAGGUGAUUCAAAUUCACAUUGAGAGUGUUUUUAUUUUUUGAAUUGUGAAUGGAUAUUGUUGAUUUAUAUGUGAUGGAUAUUAUUUAAUUGUUUUUAA
This is a long non-coding RNA of Quercus robur (English oak), 635 nucleotides long. RefSeq lists it as uncharacterized. The record is from RefSeq and is a predicted model, not a curated record. NCBI's taxonomy places the organism in Eukaryota, Viridiplantae, Streptophyta, Magnoliopsida, Fagales, Fagaceae. The transcript has 2 exons.